AUGCUUCGCCUCCGAAGCUGCAUCGUGUCCCAUCUCCUCUCGUCUCCAUCCACCCCUCUCCCCCGCCUCCUCUCCGCGGCCGCGCCCGCCGUUUCCCCGAGCACCGGAUUCGCCGUGGAGGAGUACCUCGUCGCCACCUGCGGCCUCACCCGAGCGCAGGCCCUCAAGGCUUCCCCGAAGAUCUCCCACCUCAAGUCCCCCUCUAAUCCCGACGCCGUCCUCGCCUUCCUCGCCGGCCUCGGCCUCUCCAGAGCCGACGUCGCCACCGCCGUCGCCAAGGACCCCAGGUUACUCUGCGCCCGCGUGGAGAGUACUCUGGCCCCCAACUUGGCUGCGCUCAGCGGCAUCGGGUUGUCGCGCUCUGAGAUCGUGCCCCUCCUCCGCUUGCGCUGCAGAUCUGUCGUCUCCAAGCUGCAGUACUACCUGACCCUCUUCGGCUCCUCCGAGGCCUUCCUCCAGGCGUUGAAGUUCAACUGCAACCUCCUCACGCACAGCAUCGAGAGCGCGGUCGAGCCCAAUGUGGCGUUGCUGCGGGAGUGCGGGCUAGGUGAUCGCGAUAUUGCCAAGUUAUGCGUUGGUAUGCCAUGGCUGCUGGCAGCCAACCCAGAAUGCAUCCGAUCAAUGGUUGCCCGUGCCGACGGUCUUGGCGUGAGCCGGGAAUCUCCGAUGUUCAGGCACGCGAUGCAUGCUGUUGCAUUCCACAGCGAGGAGAAGAUUGCUGCCAAAAUGGCGUACCUGAAAAAGACGCUCAGGUGGUCGGAUGCUGAGGUGCGCAUUGCUUUGUCCAAGUCUCCAAUGAUGCUGAGGAGUUCUGAGGGCAUGGUGCAGCGCAUGUCAGAGUUCCUCAUCUCUGAGAUGGGUUUGGAACCAGCAUACAUUGCUCAUCGGCCGGCAAUGCUCGCUUACAGCCUGGAGCGCCGGAUCAGACCCAGGUACUACGUUGUUAAGUAUCUUAAGGAAAAUGGAUUGGUAAGUCGCGACCGGGACUACUAUUCCGCACUCACGCCGUCCGAGAUGAUAUUCUUGGAGAAGUACAUAUGCCCUCACAAGAAAGCUGCGCCGUACCUUGCUGAAGACUAUGAUGAUGUUUGCAGAGGACAAGUGCCUGAUAGAUUCAGAUUUGCAUGA
Molecule: ribosomal RNA, 1128 nt
Filed under: Triticum aestivum (bread wheat)
Lineage: Eukaryota; Viridiplantae; Streptophyta; Magnoliopsida; Poales; Poaceae
Description: partial small subunit ribosomal RNA
Source: RNAcentral